RNAcentral lists this ribosomal RNA (1618 nucleotides) under Alicyclobacillus sacchari. RNAcentral's name for it is "bacterial SSU rRNA". It matches the Rfam family "Bacterial small subunit ribosomal RNA". Lineage: Bacteria; Bacillati; Bacillota; Bacilli; Caryophanales; Alicyclobacillaceae. The record is from RNAcentral.
CUCGAACGGCAGCGUCGCUCCUUGAAAACUAAACACACACCACGCCAGUUUAUCUGUCUCGCGUAUGCGGGAUAGUGAGAUUUCAUUGAGAGUUUGAUCCUGGCUCAGGACGAACGCUGGCGGCGUGCCUAAUACAUGCAAGUCGAGCGGACAUCUUCGGAUGUCAGCGGCGGACGGGUGAGUAACACGUGGGCAAUCUGCCUUUCAGACCGGAAUAACACUCGGAAACGGGUGCUAAUGCCGGAUAGGUCACGAGGAGGCAUCUUCUUGUGAGGAAAGCUGCAAAUGCAGCGCUGGGAGAGGAGCCCGCGGCGCAUUAGCUAGUUGGUGAGGUAACGGCUCACCAAGGCGACGAUGCGUAGCCGACCUGAGAGGGUGACCGGCCACACUGGGACUGAGACACGGCCCAGACUCCUACGGGAGGCAGCAGUAGGGAAUCUUCCGCAAUGGGCGAAAGCCUGACGGAGCAACGCCGCGUGAGCGAAGAAGGCCUUCGGGUUGUAAAGCUCUGUUGCUCGGGGAGAGCGAUAAGGAGAGUGGAAAGCUCCUUAGGAGACGGUACCGAGUGAGGAAGCCCCGGCAAACUACGUGCCAGCAGCCGCGGUAAUACGUAGGGGGCAAGCGUUGUCCGGAAUCACUGGGCGUAAAGCGUGCGUAGGCGGUUGUGUAAGUCUGGAGUGAAAGUCCAUGGCUCAACCAUGGGAUGGCUUUGGAAACUGCAUGACUUGAGUGCUGGAGAGGCAAGGGGAAUUCCACGUGUAGCGGUGAAAUGCGUAGAUAUGUGGAGGAAUACCAGUGGCGAAGGCGCCUUGCUGGACAGUGACUGACGCUGAGGCACGAAAGCGUGGGGAGCAAACAGGAUUAGAUACCCUGGUAGUCCACGCCGUAAACGAUGAGUGCUAGGUGUUGGGGGGAUACACCUCAGUGCCGAAGGAAACCCAAUAAGCACUCCGCCUGGGGAGUACGGUCGCAAGACUGAAACUCAAAGGAAUUGACGGGGGCCCGCACAAGCAGUGGAGCAUGUGGUUUAAUUCGAAGCAACGCGAAGAACCUUACCAGGGCUUGACAUCCCUCUGACAGGUGCAGAGAUGUACCUUCCCUUCGGGGCAGAGGAGACAGGUGGUGCAUGGUUGUCGUCAGCUCGUGUCGUGAGAUGUUGGGUUAAGUCCCGCAACGAGCGCAACCCUUGACCUGUGUUACCAGCACGUAGAGGUGGGGACUCACAGGUGACUGCCGGCGUAAGUCGGAGGAAGGCGGGGAUGACGUCAAAUCAUCAUGCCCUUUAUGUCCUGGGCUACACACGUGCUACAAUGGGCGGUACAACGGGAAGCGAAGCCGCGAGGUGGAGCCAAACCCAGAAAGCCGUUCGUAGUUCGGAUUGCAGGCUGCAACUCGCCUGCAUGAAGCCGGAAUUGCUAGUAAUCGCGGAUCAGCAUGCCGCGGUGAAUCCGUUCCCGGGCCUUGUACACACCGCCCGUCACACCACGAGAGUCGGCAACACCCGAAGUCGGUGAGGUAACCCUUAGGGGAGCCAGCCGCCGAAGGUGGGGCGGAUGAUUGGGGUGAAGUCGUAACAAGGUAGCCGUAUCGGAAGGUGCGGCUGGAUCACCUCCUUUCU